GGGCCGGUGGUCUAGCCCGGCUAUGGCUUCGCAAAUUCGGUGCGGUGGUCACGAGUUCAAAUCUCGUCCGGCCCACCA
RNAcentral lists this transfer RNA (78 nucleotides) under Candidatus Thorarchaeota archaeon. RNAcentral's name for it is "tRNA-Glu". It matches the Rfam family "tRNA". From Rfam's summary of the family: Transfer RNA (tRNA) molecules are approximately 80 nucleotides in length. Lineage: Archaea; Promethearchaeati; Candidatus Thorarchaeota. The record is from RNAcentral.